RNAcentral lists this ribosomal RNA (426 nucleotides) under uncultured bacterium. Its description in RNAcentral is "bacterial SSU rRNA". It matches the Rfam family "Bacterial small subunit ribosomal RNA", at positions 354 to 796 of the family's 1533-position model. The record is from RNAcentral.
GUGAGGAAUAUUGCCCAAUGGACGAAAGUCUGAGGCAGCGACGCCGCGUGGGUGAUGAAGGCCUUCGGGUCGUAAAGCCCUUUUCUGUGUGACGAGACAGGACGGUAGCACAGGAAAAAGUCUCGGCUAACUACGUGCCAGCAGCCGCGGUAAAACGUAGGAGGCAAGCGUUAUCCGGAGUUACUGGGCGUAAAGCGUGCGCAGGCGGUUGAUUAAGACAGGCGUGAAAUCCCCGGGCUUAACCUGGGAACUGCGCUUGUGACUGGUCGGCUAGAGUACGGCAGAGGGGGGUGGAAUUCCACGUGUAGCAGUGAAAUGCGUAGAGAUGUGGAGGAACACCGAUGGCGAAGGCAGCCCCCUGGGCCGAUACUGACGCUCAUGCACGAAAGCGUGGGUAGCAAACAGGAUUAGAAACCCUAGUAGUCC